ACGGAAGGCAGCAGCUAAGAAUAUUCCGCAAUGGACGAAAGUCUGACGGAGCGACGCCGCGUGGAUGAUGAAGGCCGGAAGGUUGUAAAAUCCUUUUAUAACUGAGGAAUAAGUAAGGUGAGAGAAACGCCUUAUGGUGACUGUAGGUUAUGUAUAAGCAACGGCUAAUUACGUGCCAGCAGCCGCGGUAACACGUAAGUUGCGAGCGUUGUUCGGAAUUAUUGGGCGUAAAGGGCAUGUAGGCGGUGUUGCAAGUUUGGUGUGAAAUCCCGGGGCUUAACUGCGGAAUUGCGUUGAGAACUGCAUAACUAGAGUAACUGAGGGGCAAUCAGAAUUCCUGGUGUAGGGGUGAAAUCUGUAGAUAUCAGGAAGAAUACCAGUGGCGAAGGCAGGUUACCAGCAGAUGACUGACGCUGAGGUGCGAAGGCGCGGGGAGCAAACAGGAUUAGAUACCCUGGUA
Molecule: ribosomal RNA, 460 nt
Filed under: uncultured Treponema sp.
Lineage: Bacteria; Pseudomonadati; Spirochaetota; Spirochaetia; Treponematales; Treponemataceae
Description: partial 16S ribosomal RNA
Rfam family: Bacterial small subunit ribosomal RNA
Source: RNAcentral